Canis lupus familiaris (dog) is the source of this 3989-nucleotide long non-coding RNA. RefSeq lists it as uncharacterized. The record is from RefSeq and is a predicted model, not a curated record. Lineage: Eukaryota; Metazoa; Chordata; Mammalia; Carnivora; Canidae. The transcript is spliced from 4 exons.
CAGGAGAGCACCGGCCCUCGUCGUCUCGGCACCAUGAUGGGGUGAGUCACACGACUGAAAUAGAAGCUGCUAGGGUUGCAAACUUAGUUCUGUUUCCACUGAGUUGAUUGGCAAGCACUUAACUGCUUUUUUUUUUUUUUUUUUCCACCACCACAUGGACGUUUACACCACCCAGAUAAGCCUGCUCCCAAAUCUCCGGUGGCUCACCCACUGGCACCAGGAUAAAAGCGACGUUCUUUCCUCUGGUACAAUAGGUCCCCGUGUGGUGUCCCCUUCAUCUGUGACAGACCACUCUCCAGCUCCGGGAGGCCCUCGCCCCUGCCUGGAACGCUGUACUCCUGCCGAGCAGCUUGUGGGCCUCCGGGCUCACGGCUGCUGCUCCCGGACCCCUGCCCGUGCCUUGGGAGCGUUGCGAGCUUCAGUCGCUCCUCAAACCUCAGCUCAAAUGCCAAGUGUGGCCUUUCUCUCUGGGCCUAUGCUCCUUUACUCCUGAGAUCUUGGCAUGUGGUUUCCAGAAAGCUGUAAUCCUUUCUUUCCAUGGCUUUUGUCAUUAAGCUGAGACCAGAGAACACGCUCUUCCAUCUGUAUUUCCAGCUUGCAUCGUGUUCCACUACAGCUGUGUAACCAAGUCCUCCCAAACUCGCGGCUGCUCCCCCAGGCUGGGGCGGGUGGUUUACUGAACCGAAAAUGUGGCCAGCGCUCAGCUGUGGGAGCUCCCACCAGCAGCCCCUCUGCCGGGAGAGGCCGUUGUGGGGGAGGAUUUGCAGCCUGAGGACCCCAUCCUUGACUCUUGGAAUAGAAUUUGCUGUUAUGAACGUGAGCUGAGGACAAGGAGCUCCUCCGGGGAUGUUCUAGCACGUUUGGCUCUGGAGAAGACGGGAGACAGGAACACGUUCCCUCACGCAGCAGGACCAGGGCCUGUGCUCACCUCUCCCGCUCACCCUGAUGCCCACCACAUGGUCCCAAGAGGGAACAGCGAGCGCCUGGCUGCGGACAGCCGUCCACCCCCUCUUUUCCAGGAAUAUUCCACAACCGGGCCCGUGUGGCAAGAGCACCUAGAGGGACACGAGGGCUGAUGGAGAUGGUGCUUCCCCACCAUCCCUGUCCCUGGCCCGGGUCCCUCUGUCCUCCAGCCUCUGCCCUCUGCCCUCAGAAGGAAGAGCUAGGGCACGGAGGGCAGGACAUUGACUCCCCUGACCUCCUACACUCACGUGUCAUUAGAACUAGCGGACAUGCACCCGGGACGUCUUCCCUCCACCUGCGGGCCCCAGGAAGCUCCACGCUUCUGGAACGUCUGCCGUGGAGGACGAGCUGCUCAAGCAUUCUCAAUCUGUGUAUGUGGUAGCAGGACCAUCACCCCCCGCCCGGGAGUGACCAUGAGCCUCCGUCCCUGCAGACAGGUCACCCUGGAUUGCACAUAGUUCCCCGCGGUCUCAGUUUCUCCUCCGGGCUGGAGGGCGGCCCUGGUGCCUGGUGCAGGAGCAGCAGAGGAGGAUGGCAGGCGGGCCAGCCCCCCAGUGCUCCCUGCGCCCAGCAGGUGCCUCCCGGCUCCCCUCCUGUCUCCCCUGCACCUCAUGCCGCUGGAUCCAGGUCGCGCGUGCUUCCCUCAGAGCCUGGACGCAUCUUUCUGCAGACUUGCCUAUUUCAUGAUAAAUUAUGCUCAAUUUCCGUUUCCUCUUUUUCUCCGAGUACCUGCCUUCCUCCAUCCCUGCAACCUGAGGUCAUCCCAGCCUCUAGCUGAUGGAAACUCAGCGUUGCCCUUUGUCCAACAAGCUACAUCCACAAAAUCUAAGAACAAAAGCUGCCUUCUGGGUGACGGGAGGUCGGUGGGGAGCCACCACUUGGCCACCGAUGGCUGACUUCUGCUGGGGGGCCUCCAGGUGCCUGCGGUGGGCCCUGCUCUGGAGGACAGCGAGCACCCACAAGAGAGAGAAUGCCCAUUUCCAGGUUGCACAUUGCUCUGGGCAUCACGCGUCCAGCAGGACGGUCUGAAGCGCUGGCCCCCAGGAGGCUGGAGUGAAGAAAACAGAGACUCCCAUCUGCUGGGACCUGUCCUGUGUUGUCUGGUCUCUGGUGUGAACUGGAGACCCUUCUCAGUACCUCAGCCACCCCAAAGGCAAGGAAAGGGAAGACCCAGGAGCUGGGAGCACAGGACACUGUAACCAGGGCAAGAAUACCUGUGUACCCCUUGGGUGGGCCAUGGGGAACCCCACCCCGGGCUUCCCAGGAAUUGGGCUUUGUCCAGGAUCUUCCCAUCGUGAGAUCCUGGGCCAUCAGGUUGGAUGUCCAGGCCUCCAGGCCCAUCCGUGUGAGGUCCUCCUGGCUGCACAGUGGCUGCCACACUGGUCCCCAUGGUGGGCAACUGCUGCUCCCGGCUCUGGCCCUCAGCUCUGACCCAUUCCCUGUGUCCCAGGGACAAGCUUCACACAAGUGGUGCUCAGAGAGGCCUGAGAGGGCCUGCCCUAACAAGGUGAAGUGUGACUGGAGGGGGCCUGCCCUAACAAGGUGAAGCACACCUGAGGGGCAGCUGCUUGGGUCUUCAGCAUCCUUGACCAUCUUCACAAAGGAAGGAGAGGGAAGCAUUGGCCAACGAGGUUCCGUUUAAAGAGCUGUUCCUAUGACACUCUGGUUGGAGAACAAAGCCCCGCCGCUUCCCGAGAAACGCACCCUGGCCUGAAACCAAGGAUGCCGUAGCUCUGCAAAGCCUGGCAGGGGAAGAAAUGCCCUCGCUCCGGGUGCAAGCGCCUUCCGCGGGUUCCUGCCCCACCUCCGGCAAACGACUCUCGCUGCCCCCCGGCCUCAGCACUCUGACUGGGUUUAUAGGAUGCAAAGACGGCAGGACAGCAAGAAUAGAGCAAGCCUCCUAUCUCAGGCCAACAGCCAAAAGAGAAGAGGUCACCCCCCGCUCCCGGAACCUCAAGUUACAAGUGAAACAGUCCCCGACAGCCACCCCGCAGAGGCAUCACUACCUCCCAGUGUGUAGGAUCCCAUCUCCUGCCAGGAGUUGGAAUGGGAUUGGAAUGGACCUUGGACUCACGUGAGGGGCUGGGCCGGGUUGGAGCUCCAGCACCCACAACAAAGAAUAAGGAAUAGGGUGUUGGGGGAAAACCUAAGAGCGCGCGCCACCUUGGGAGAACGUGUGGAGCGAGUGGAAACGGUCUGAAGAAAUGCCUGUGUUUCGAGGUUGGACAUGGAGGGGAUGGAGAUGGAGGCGUGAACCCAGGGAAGAUGCUCCUGGAGCUGAGGGCAGACCAGACCCCGCCGAGGAGGCCGAGCCCCUUUGUGCAGAAUGCGGCUGGCAGGUCAGGCAGCAGCACAGGAUGGUGGGAAGGAAUAUGAGGAAACCAGAAGCAACUCCACACAGGUGAUCUGUUUCCCAGGCUCCCAAGGGCUGUCACCCCCAUUUCUCGCCAUGAUUCCUGAGCCAUCUGAUAAUACGUCAGAGGAAUCAGCAUUUGCAAGCUGUGACAUCAUAUGCUUUAUGGGUAAAGCUGACUUUGAGAAUGGGAUAUGUAGCUGCAGUCACAUCAGUGGGCUGAUUCUCAACCCAGAAAUUAGUUGACUUAGGGAAGCAGUGCCGUGCAGGCAGGAGGUGCUCACACAAGAUAGUCAAGGAGAGCAAGGUGGCCUACAGUCAUCAGAGCAGACAGAAAGUCCUCAGUAAAGGCCAGAAACAGGGAAACUGGAUCCCAAAGCUCUGAAAUAAUUCAGGAUAUAUUAACUAGAUUAAAUCCAAGAGCACUGUGUACCCAAAAUGGAACAUUCAUUCUUUAAUCCAUUACACCAACUAUGCCCACCUUCACCAACAGUCCUCAAUAAUAUGAAAAAGAAUGUUUAACAUUCUCCUCCCCCCAAAAAAAUUUGCAAAAACAUAGAAAUGGCCCAAAUUUAAGGAAACACUUUCUCCCAUUGUCAAGUUCUGAGGGAGAGAUUAAAUUCUCUGGUAACUUCAGAUCCAAAUACCGAAGGGAAUAAAGACCAAAACCCAA